Non-coding RNA from Podarcis muralis (Common wall lizard), 2228 nucleotides. The record is from RefSeq and is a predicted model, not a curated record. Lineage: Eukaryota; Metazoa; Chordata; Lepidosauria; Squamata; Lacertidae.
CUCACUUCUCGAAGACCAUGGUCUUCAGCGACUUUCUCGUCUUACCUCCAGGCGCCUCUGCUCCUCCGCAUGCCAAUCCAUUUUAAAUGAGGCCGUGCUGGAAUAAGUUCUUUGACUAGUCCUUCGACCCCAACCACAGACUUUGUUUUGUCUACUUGGACCUAAAAGAAAGAGACGGAAAUAUAUAUAUAUAAUCAGCACAAAGAGAAGCUGCUGGGAGAGAAAGAUCCACAGGAAUAGUUGUUUGAAAGAUGAUGUAGAUGGUAAAAUUUCAUGGACUCUCCAUGCAAGCGGUGAAUAUGCUUGGCUGUUGCUGGAAAUGGCAUUCAGUGCAUUCCAUGUGGAAAAAUGCAAACCUGAGAUUCCCUACUCAUACAACAGCAUUGUAAUGUAUCACAAUCAUUUUAGACAUUUCCCAGGAAGGUGGAAGAGCACUUGAGGUAAGUACUUCAUUAAAGGCACUGGGCGGGGAAAUUAAUAACGUCUUUAUGGAGUUAUUUAAAAUUCAGCUUAUAAUACAUCUGCUUAUAAUACAUGGGAUGAGUCCAGAGCACUAUUCCUGGUCUAGUUAGGUAAAGCUUAGACCUCCAUGCAGCUCUGUCCAAGCAAAAUGUCUACCAAGGCAGUCCAUAUAAUAUAAUUUUUGUUUCUGCUGCUUGGGGAAAUAAUAAACAUACUGAGGGAGGGGAGAGAUCAGGCCUGUGCACCAGUUUCUCCACUACUGAACUAGAGGAUAAAGAGUAUUGUUUCUCAGUUCUGCUAGCAAACUGCAGCAUUUCAUGGCUAACACCUUACAUGUGGACAUUUUAGUGACACUUUACUCCAUUCUUAUCCUGCCAAUAUCCUAUAAUGCCUUUAAUAUUUGUGUGAUACAGCUGAGUCUUUGAGGGACUCUCCUCUUCAUUUAGGCUUGAAAAACAUACAGGCUUCCCAAACUGAGCAACAGUGCUGUUGUUUUCUCUCUUUUGCUCUCAGAGCUCCUGGCCUCUUGCUUCCAGAAGUAUUUCGUGGGUCCUGGUUUUCUGUCAGAGGUCCUGAUCUUCUUUUGUGUCCAGAAUAUGAUCCAGAUCAAGCUCUUUCUCUGGCACUUCUUCUGCUUGGAAACUGAGUUUUAUAAGCAUCUUACAUCCCUCUGUUUGAUUCUUCCUAGCCAUACCUUUGAAACUCCAGUGGGAGCACUUACAGUGUACCUUGGCUUUUUGAAAGUGCUUUUGGUUUAUGGCUUAUGUUUCCUCAAAGGAAGAUCCUGGUCUAUUUUUUAUUCCUACACUCCACGACAGACUGAUGUUCACACUUCCAAUUCUCACUGUCCUCCUGGCUCUGCUCCAUGCCUAGGGUAUAACUAGUGAGAACAAGCCUUUCAUCUUGUUCACAUUUAUUGACUGCUGGCUUACACGUGACUCCUCUUUUGCUUUUAAUGUAACUGCAUAAACUAUUGUUUGGAUUUUCAGCAAUUAAUCACCAGAGUAGGAAUAUAACUGUUGCACACAGUUAUAUUGAUUUUAAUCAUGCUAGAUUUGAACUGGUGGCCCUAGAUAAAAAAAAUAUUUCACGUGGUCAUUUUUAUGUCAUGGAGAUAUUUAUGCCACCAUUUUCCUUCUCAUAUAUUAAGGUGCUCUGCUAAACAGUUUUUAAUGUUUUCAGCUGCAACAAUAUUCUAAAUGGAACACACACAUCCACCACAUAAUAAAGUAUGAUUCUUUAUUAUGGUCCCCUCCUUCCCAUCUGUUCACCACUAGCUCAGAGAAGUGAAAAGAAAUAUCACCUUCAUUUGAGAGAGAGAAUAGUCAAAUAUUACUGCUACCUGAUACCAUCACACCAACCUAAAUCUUGUCUUGAAGUUUGCAGCUAAAGCAAUUGAGCUGGUAAAAUUAAAAUGGCUGCAGAUAGGCUGGCCAUAUACAAAAGGGACAUAGAGCUCUACUACCUUUAAUUAAUCUAUAAAAGACAGAACUCAGGCAGGUGCAGUCUGUCUUACAGAGGAAGUGAAAAAAUGCUUCUCCUGAAAUUCUCUUCUACAUAAAGCUUUCACUUCCUUUAUUUGCAUCUGAUACCCCUAGUCAUAGCAAACAUGGUGAAAGUGUGACUCUUUCCCAAAUUCUGUUCUGCUAUUAUUUAAUUUCAACCAAUUCUGGGUCUCUGGAGGGACUUACAACGAAGGACUGAUGCAAAGCCAAACAUGAUGUAACCAGUGCUUUUUUUCUAGAGGGACACAGGGGUACGCAUAC